Molecule: ribosomal RNA, 497 nt
Filed under: uncultured bacterium
Lineage: Bacteria
Description: partial 16S ribosomal RNA
Rfam family: Bacterial small subunit ribosomal RNA
Source: RNAcentral
GAUGAACGCUGGCGGCGUGCCUAAUACAUGCAAGUCGAGCGAACAGACGAGGAGCUUGCUCCUCUGACGUUAGCGGCGGACGGGUGAGUAACACGUGGAUAACCUACCUAUAAGACUGGGAUAACUUCGGGAAACCGGAGCUAAUACCGGAUAAUAUAUUGAACCGCAUGGUUCAAUAGUGAAAGACGGUUUUGCUGUCACUUAUAGAUGGAUCCGCGCCGCAUUAGCUAGUUGGUAAGGUAACGGCGUACCAAGGCAACGAUGCGUAGCCGACCUGAGAGGGUGAUCAGCCACACUGGAACUGAGACACGGUCCAGACUCCUACGGGAGGCAGCAGUAGGGAAUAUUCCGCAAUGGGCGAAAGCCUGACGGAGCAACGCCGCGUGAGUGAUGAAGGUCUUCGGAUCGUAAAACUCUGUUAUUAGGGAAGAACAAAUGUGUAAGUAACUAUGCACGUCUUGACGGUACCUAAUCAGAAAGCCACGGCUAACUACGUG